AUGGCCUCUUCCAAGCUCCUGACCGCCGCCGUGAGCUCCUCCAUCCGGCGCUUCUACCGCCUCGCCUCCUCCCCCCUCCUGCCGCCGCCCGCCUCCCGCCGCCUCCCGGGGCCACUCCUCUCCGCACGCUUCUGCUCCGCCGCCGCCGCCGCCACCACGCCGGUGGACGCCGCCGCCCCCGCCCCCGCCUACUCGGCCCUCGCCGCCGCCACCACGCCGGUGGAUGCCGCCUCCUCCGCCGUCGCCGCGGUCUCCGAGGGCCACCCGUGGCCGGAGUGGGCCGACUUCCUCGAGAAGCUGCGGGCCAAGGGGUACUUCGUGCGGCCCCCUCUCGCCUCCGGCGCCCCCGUGGGCGAGGAGGUGGCCGCGGAUGCCGUGGCCAAGCCCGACUACCCCUUCAGGGACCAGAACAGGGUGAAGAACGCGUGCCUCAAGUUCGCGCGCGAGCGCUUUGAUCUUCUCAGCUCUCUUCCCAAGAAGGAUAUUCAAGCUAUUGUCGAGUGUGGCUGUCCUAAUAUCUUCCGAAAGGCUGUCAGUUCUGCAAAAAGGCUGAGAGAAUUUGUGCAGGUUGACGAAGGAGAUGCAUGCAGUGUUUGCAAAUUGCGUGGGUCUUGUGAUAAGGCUUAUGUCAUUCCAAAAGCUGAGGAAGCAGCUCGUACCGUUGAUGUUGUGCGCAUACUGCUAACUUAUGCAAUAGAUCCAGCCAACCUAUCUGGAGAAAAUUCUGUUGGUGGGGGUGUGCAAGAAUCUGCAAAGAAGCUUCUCUCAGAUCUGACUAUGCUUUGUGACACAACAAUUGAUCCAUCUCUUCCUAAACCUGUAAUUCACACUUAUAGCAAGCAGGAUUCAUCAACCAAACCUGACAAGGGCAAACAAUCAUCUAGGGUUUCAGCUGGAAAGGGUAGAGAAACAGCUGUGACUGAAAUGAAGAAGGGUGACUGGCUUUGCCCGAACUGCAACUUCUUAAAUUUUGCUCGAAAUCGUCAAUGUCUCGAAUGCAAAGUUGAUGGACCAAAGAAGAUAGAAGCAGCCAUCAGUGAAAUGAAAAUGGGAGAUUGGAUUUGUCCAGGAUGCGCUUUUAUGAACUUCUCUCGCAACAAGAUGUGUUUUAAAUGUGAAGGGCAACGGCCCAAAAGGCAGCUUAACCCUGGAGAGUGGGAAUGCCCCUCAUGUGAUUUUGUUAACUUCCGACGGAACCAGGAGUGCAAAAAGUGCAGCCACGACCGCCCCGAAGACGAUACCCAGGAUAAUAAGCUCGGAUACGAUGUGUGGAGAAACACCAAGGGAGCUAACAAGGAUAGAAGCUUUUACUCUGUUCGUCAGGAAGACGACGACGGCGAUGAAGAGGGGUUGCCAUACAAGGGGGAGGAGCGCAGGCAUGUAGCGAGCAGAAGGGCGUCACCAGCCCGGAGGGAGUUCGCGGGCAAGAGUAGUAACCAUGGCGACGAAGACGAUGCCUUGCCAUACAAGGAGGGAGACAGGCGUGUGUCGAGCAGAAGGGCCUCACCAGCCCGGAAGGGACACGCGAAGAAUGACGGUGAUGAUGAGGAUGUCGAAUUGGAUGUCUCGCCCUAUGAUGGGGCGCGCAAGCAUGGAUCGAGCAGAAGGGCGGCGCCAGGCCGGAGGGGAUUCACCAAGGAUGAAGACGACGUGUUGCCGUAUGAAGGGGCGCGCAAGCAUGUGGUAAGCAGAAGGGCAACCCCAUCCCGGAGGAGAUUCACUGCUGCUAGAGGAGAAUAG
This 1740-nucleotide ribosomal RNA is filed under the name Triticum aestivum (bread wheat). RNAcentral describes it as "partial small subunit ribosomal RNA". Lineage: Eukaryota; Viridiplantae; Streptophyta; Magnoliopsida; Poales; Poaceae. The record is from RNAcentral.